This 543-nucleotide long non-coding RNA is filed under the name Marmota monax (woodchuck). Lineage: Eukaryota; Metazoa; Chordata; Mammalia; Rodentia; Sciuridae. The record is from RNAcentral.
AGGACAAAGAACUCACAUAUCUGUAUCACAACACCUGUUGGAAAGCUGAAGUAGUGAGGAAAACGUGAUGCUGUGAAGAAAUACACAGGUUGAUAAAUGGAGAUGAGUAGAGAGGUGAAAACUCACACAUGCCUACAGGCAGCUGAUUUUGUCAAAGGAAAAAGACCUUCAAUGAAGAAAAGAGCAUCUGCUGCACAAAUGGUGAUGAAGUGUUUGGAAACCUUAUGUGAGAAAUGGACAGGGAAAACCUUUAUAAGUUCACAAAACUCACUCUAAAUAGUCCAUGGCUUACAUCAAAAAAUGUGAAACUACACUCACCUAUUCUUUUGUAAUCCUACCCCUUUGCCCUGUCUGGGAUAGAAUAUUCCAUGGAAACUACCUUUGUGUGUCCCCUUCUCUUGCUCUUGCCUUCUACUUUCCACUCUACACUUGCCUCAGCAUGCUUCUCUGGUGUUAUACUUUAGCAUUCAGGGAAGCAAGGACUCCUCACCAGUAAACAGCGGGAACACAACCAUCAACUAAUCUCAAAUUAUUGUACAAACU